GAUGAACGCUGGCGGCGUGCCUAAUACAUGCAAGUCGAGCGAACGGACGCGAAGCUUGCUUUUCUGAUGUUAGCAGCGGACGGGUGAGUAACACGUGGAUAACCUACCUAUAAGACUGGGAUAACCUCGGGAAACCGGAGCUAAUACCGGAUAAUAUUUUGAACCGCAUGGUUCAAAAGUGAAAGACGGUCUUGCUGUCACUUAUAGAUGGAUCCGCGCUGCAUUAGCUAGUUGGUAAGGUAACGGCUUACCAAGGCAACGAUGCAUAGCCGACCUGUGAGGGUGGUAGCCCACACUAGAGGGGGGACACGGUCCAGGCGACUGCGGGAGGCAGCAGUAGGGAAUCUUCCGCAGUGGGGGAGAGCAUGACGGAACAAGGCGGCGUGAGUGAUGACGGUCUUCGGAUCGUGAAGCUCUGUUAUUAGGGGAAAACAGAUGUGUAAGUAACUGUGCACAUCUUGACGGUACCUAGUAAGGAAGCAACGGCUAACUACGUG
This 497-nucleotide ribosomal RNA is filed under the name uncultured bacterium. Its description in RNAcentral is "partial 16S ribosomal RNA". It matches the Rfam family "Bacterial small subunit ribosomal RNA", at positions 28 to 507 of the family's 1533-position model. The record is from RNAcentral.